Molecule: long non-coding RNA, 1969 nt
Filed under: Bos indicus x Bos taurus (hybrid cattle)
Lineage: Eukaryota; Metazoa; Chordata; Mammalia; Artiodactyla; Bovidae
Description: lncRNA (ENSBIXG00005008929.1)
Source: RNAcentral
AUGGGUGUACAUGGGGGGUGGGGUGAGUGCAGUCACCAAGGGGGCCGGCAGCUGUGCAGGUCCUGGGCCCUCACUCACAAUUGGAGGAAGGAAUUCAGGAAGUGCUCACAGCUGCUCAGACAUCUCAGAGCUUCGUCCCAGGCAGCACCAAGGCUGAGGCACCCAGGGAUGAGCGUUCCAUGGCCUGGGCCCUGGGGUAGCCAUCAGGUCAGGAGACCCCGGCACUGCAUACAGCCACAGCUGCCCCUCUGGAAGCCCGGGCUUCCGCAUCCAAGAAGUCUUGAGCUUACGUCUUUCAGGACAGCGCUUCUUCCAGAGCUGCCAGUGGAGUUGCCCACGGCUCUUGGAAGCCUGGCCCAAGGCUGAGAAAACAGUGACAGAGACCCAGUGAGGUCGAAAUAGAGCCGUGUGGGGUGCCCAACAGCCCAGAGUGGGUACCAGCCAGGGCCUCAGACCAGUAUCUCCUUAGAAGACCACAGGGAGAGCAGCCGGAGGAGCAAGGGUACCUGCCAUCACCAGCAGCUCCUCGCUUCAGAUGGGGAGCGAAUGAGGUCCAAAACACACCCUGGGUUGCUCAGUGGGUUAGUGGCCAUACGGGGCCAUGGAAACAGCAGUGAUUGGAGUGGUGGCUGUGCUAUUCGUGGUCACCGUGGCCAUCACCUGUGUCCUCUGCUGCUUCAGCUGUGACUCAAGGAGCCAGGAUCCUCAGGGGGCCCCGAGCCCCAGCUUCACAGUAGCCACGUUUCGCAAGGAGGCUUCUCUCUUCACUGGGCCAGAUCACAAUGCUCAGCCAGUGGCAGGUGCCUGGGACUUCUGGACCUUCAUGUGAAAUAUACCAGCCCCCCAGGAUUUGCUCUUGUUGUUUAGUCGCUCAGUCGUGUCCAACUCUUUGUGACCCCAUGGAUUGUAGCCUGCCAGAUUCUGCUGUCCGUGGAAUUCUCCAGGCAAGAAUACUGGACUGGGUAGCCAUUCUCUUCUGCAGGGGAUCUUCUUGACCCAGGGACUGAAGCCAAGUUUCCUGUAUUAGCAGGCGGAUUCUUUACCAUGAAGCCACCAGGAAAGCCCAAGAUUUCCUCUGCUGCUGGUCAGACUCCUCUUCCCCCAGCAAGCCUUCUCUGGUGACCCACUCCUCCAGCCUGGCAUUUCUGUCCCAUCCAGCCUGUAUCCAGCAGACUCCUGGCCCAUCCUAUCCUGGUUUGCCAUGCCCUCCAGCCUGGGAGAUCUAUGGUGAUGGGACCAGGUAGGAGUUAGCUCUGACCCCUGAGAGUUCAGCUGGACCCUACCCACAGGGUGGGGCUUACGAGAGGUUGAGAGUGAGUGACCAGGCAAUAUUGGAUGGCAUGGUGGGCCAGCUCUUCUGAUCUACAAGGUGCAGUGAAAUAUCACUGGACUUUAUUGUGAAAAGAGUGUUGAUUAUCUCAAGUUGUCCCUGUGAAACUGGUUCUAUUGCCACCAGAGGAAGCAGCGCCCUCAAGUGGACAGUUUUAGAAACCACUUUUUAUCUCUCAAGUGAGUCAUUUUGCUAUUUGCCUGCGCAUGUACUGCAGAGCCCACUUCUGAGACCUGCCUCCUACCUGUUACCUGAAAUCCGCCCUGAAAUUCUGAAACCAAAGGGCUGCUUCCUGGGAACUGGCGAUUCAUUUGAAAAUGCAUAUCCUUUUAUGGGUCUCCCAAGAAUCGGGGCUGGGAAACCACAAAAGGAAACAAAGAAAAAAAGUCACAGAAAGUACCAGAUGUUUUAUUAAUAGGAAAGCCAGAAAGAAGACUUUGAAACAUAUUUGCAUGAGACUUUGUUUCUAUAUUCUUAUGGGUCACUUCUAUUCUUAGAGACUGUGACUUGCAUCACUCAAGAAUGAUGGAAAAAUCACCAACUGAAAGGUAAUUUCGAAUAAGUUAAAAUGUUAUAUUAUGUUGACAGUAUGUAACAAAGCUCUUGUUUGCAUCACAAAUAAAGAGAUGUUCUGCUUUU